UGGAGGCAGCAGUGGGGAAUUUUGCGCAAUGGGGGAAACCCUGACGCAGCAACGCCGCGUGGAGGAUGAAAUCCCUUGGGAUGUAAACUCCUUUCGAUGGGGAAGAUUAUGACGGUACCCAUAGAAGAAGCCCCGGCUAACUUCGUGCCAGCAGCCGCGGUAAUACGAGGGGGGCAAGCGUUGUUCGGAAUUAUUGGGCGUAAAGGGUGCGUAGGCGGUCUGACAAGUCUGAUGUGAAAUCUAUGGGCUCAACCCAUAGUCUGCAUCGGAAACUGUCGGGCUUGAGUAUGGGAGAGGUGAGUGGAAUUUCCGGUGUAGCGGUGAAAUGCGUAGAUAUCGGAAGGAACACCUGUGGCGAAAGCGGCUCACUGGACCAUUACUGACGCUGAGGCACGAAAGCUAGGGGAGCAAACAGGAUUAGAUACCCUAGUAGUCC
RNAcentral lists this ribosomal RNA (436 nucleotides) under uncultured bacterium. Its description in RNAcentral is "bacterial SSU rRNA". It matches the Rfam family "Bacterial small subunit ribosomal RNA", at positions 343 to 796 of the family's 1533-position model. The record is from RNAcentral.